CGAAGGCCUGACGGAGCAAUACCGCGUGAGGGAAGAAGGCUUUUGGGUUGUAAACCUCUUUUGUCAGGGAAGAAGAAUUGACGGUACCUGAAGAAAAAGCAUCGGCUAACUCCGUGCCAGCAGCCGUGGUAAUACGGAGGAUGCAAGCGUUAUCCGGAAUCAUUGGGCGUAAAGGGUCCGCAGGUGGCGAAUAAAGUCUGCUGUUAAAGACCGGGGCUUAACUCCGGAAAGGCAGUGGAAACUGAUUAGCUAGAGUACGGUAGGGGUAGAGGGAAUUCCCAGUGUAGCGGUGAAAUGCGUAGAUAUUGGGAAGAACACCGGUGGCGAAAGCGCUCUACUAGGCCGAAACUGACACUGAGGGACGAAAGCUAGGGUAGCGAAAGGGAUUAGAUACCCCUGUAGUCUUAGCGGUAAACGAUGGAUACUAGGUGUAGCUUGUAUCGACCCGAGCUGUGCCGAAGCUAACGCGAUAAGUAUCCCGCCUGGGGAGUACGCACGCAAGUGUGAAACUCAAAGGAAUUGACGGGGGCCCGCACAAGCGGUGGAGUAUGUGGUUUAAUUCGAUGCAACGCGAAGAACCUUACCAGGGCUUGACAUGUCGCGAAUCUAGCGGAAACGUUAGAGUGCCUUAGGGAAUGCGAACACAGGUGGUGCAUGGCUGUCGUCAGCUCGUGUCGUGAGAUGUUGGGUUAAGUCCCGCAACGAGCGCAACCCUCGUCCUUAGUUGCCAAUAUUAAGUUAGGCACUCUAGGGAGACUGCCGGGGACAACUCGGAGGAAGGUGGGGAUGACGUCAAGUCAGCAUGCCCCUUACGUCCUGGGCGACACACGUACUACAAUGGUUGGGACAAAGGGCAGCAAGCUCGCGAGAGUAAGCGAAUCUCAUCAAACCCAGCCACAGUUCAGAUUGCAGGCUGCAACUCGCCUGCAUGAAGUAGGAAUCGCUAGUAAUCGCAGGUCAGCAUACUGCGGUGAAUUCGUUCCCGGGCCUUGUACACACCGCCCGUCACACCAUGGAAGCUGGCUACGCCCGAAGUCGUUACCCUAACCCGGUUUUGGGAGGGGGAUGCCGAAGGUAGAGCUAGUGACUGGGGUGAAGUCGUAACAAGGUAGCCGUACCGGAAGGUGUGGCUGGAUCACCUCCUUU
Molecule: ribosomal RNA, 1146 nt
Filed under: uncultured cyanobacterium
Lineage: Bacteria; Bacillati; Cyanobacteriota
Description: bacterial SSU rRNA
Rfam family: Bacterial small subunit ribosomal RNA
Source: RNAcentral